RNAcentral lists this ribosomal RNA (496 nucleotides) under uncultured bacterium. RNAcentral describes it as "partial 16S ribosomal RNA". It matches the Rfam family "Bacterial small subunit ribosomal RNA", at positions 29 to 507 of the family's 1533-position model. The record is from RNAcentral.
AUGAACGCUGGCGGCGUGCCUAAUACCUGCAAGUCGAGCGAACAGAUGAGGAGCUUGCUCCUCUGACGUUAGCGGCGGACGGGUGAGUAACACGUGGAUAACCUACCUAUAAGACUGGGAUAACUUCGGGAAACCGGAGCUAAUACCGGAUAAUAUAUUGAACCGCAUGGUUCAAUAGUGAAAGACGGUUUUGCUGUCACUUAUAGAUGGAUCCGCGCCGCAUUAGCUAGUUGGUAAGGUAACGGCUUACCAAGGCGACGAUGCGUAGCCGACCUGAGAGGGUGAUCGGCCACACUGGAACUGAGACACGGUCCAGACUCCUACGGGAGGCAGCAGUAGGGAAUCUUCCGCAAAGGGCGAAAGCCUGACGGAGCAACGCCGCGUGAGUGAUGAAGGUCUUCGGAUCGUAAAACUCUGUUAUUAGGGAAGAACAAAUGUGUAAGUAACUAUGCACGUCUUGACGGUACCUAAUCAGAAAGCCACGGCUAACUACGUG